UACGUAGGUGGCAAGCGUUAUCCGGAAUUAUUGGGCGUAAAGGGCGCGUAGGUGGUUUCGUAAGUCUGAUGUGAAAGCCCACGGCUCAACCGUGGAGGGUCAUUGGAAACUGGGGAACUGGAGUGCAGAAGAGGAAAGUGGAAUUCCAAGUGUAGCGGUGAAAUGCGUAGAGAUUUGGAGGAACACCAGUGGCGAAGGCGACUUUCUGGUCUGUAACUGACACUGAGGCGCGAAAGCGUGGGGAGCAAACAGG
Molecule: unclassified non-coding RNA, 253 nt
Filed under: uncultured Caryophanales bacterium
Lineage: Bacteria; Bacillati; Bacillota; Bacilli; Caryophanales
Description: uncultured Bacillales bacterium contains 16S-23S intergenic spacer region
Rfam family: Bacterial small subunit ribosomal RNA
Source: RNAcentral